GACGAACGCUGGCGGCGUGGAUUAGGCAUGCAAGUCGAACGGUAUCAUCCUUUCGGGGGUGAGAGAGUGGCGAACUGGUGAGUAACACGUAGGUUAUCUACCCUCAAGACGGGGACAACCCAGGGAAACUUGGGCUAAUACCGGAUGUGAGCAACUUUUAGUUGUUUGAAAGGUGGCGUAAGCUGUCGCUUGGGGAUGAGCCUGCGUCCUAUUAGUUAGUUGGUGAGGUAACGGCUCACCUAGGCAAUGAUAGGUAGGCGGCCUUAACGGGUGGUCGCCCACACUGGGAUUGAGAUACGGCCCAGACUCCUACGGGAGGCAGCAGUCGAGAAUAGUCUACAAUGGUCGGAAGACUGAUAGUGCGACGCCGCGUGAACGAUGAAUCCCUUCGGGGUGUAAAAGUUCUUUUUAUAUGUGAGCAGUGCUUCUUAUAUUAACAGUAUGGGGAGAGAGAUAUUAGCAUAUGAAUAAAGCAAACGGCUAAACUCCGUGCCAGCAAGCCCGCGGUAAAAA
RNAcentral lists this ribosomal RNA (513 nucleotides) under uncultured bacterium. Its description in RNAcentral is "bacterial SSU rRNA". It matches the Rfam family "Bacterial small subunit ribosomal RNA", at positions 28 to 526 of the family's 1533-position model. The record is from RNAcentral.